AGAAAAAGAAAGGAAACACCCCCACACCAGGGCUCGCGGGAUUUACGAAUGGAAAAACGAAUUCUCCUCCUUGCUCACACAUCAUUGCCACCUGAAAUGCUUUCUCUCAGUGUCUUUGCACCUGCCCGACUGCAGACCCAUUUGCUGGACCUAACGGGGAAAAGAAGACCAACCCGUCAACGCUGGGAGAACAAAGAAUGUACUUAUGAGAGGAGCGCUGUGCAGCAUGAAACGGUUCGGAUAUACAAUAGCAAGAAGUAGCGCUUUUUACACUACUUUGGAAGCUUUUUCCACGAGGAAAACCUGCAGUGAACUUACCCCUCGACUUUCUGUAACAUCGUUUUCAUGCCGCUGUGUUCUUAAAUAUAUGCCAUCAUUUUCUUUUUCCCUUUAGUCUCUUUUCUAAGUUGAUACGCUCGGAGUGGUGCCUGUUUUUCUCCGCAAACAUGCGACACCGAGUCUUUCUGGAGUUGUGCUUUGAGCUUGUGGUGGUCUGAGACUCAGCCCCACGCGGGUUGUUUGUCUGGAGUCCCGUGUGGUGUGGGCCGGCCUUUGUCCAAUAUUACUGCCGGGCAGGAUCUUAACAGUUUUUUGUGAAUUGACUUUUUAAAAACUCAGCAUGCACUUGACUCACUGUAUUGUGUUAGCUUCCGGUGUACAGCAAAGGGUCUCAGUUACACAUAGACACACACCCGUUCCUUUUUGGGCGAGGCGCCUUUUGUCGUCCCCUUGCCUGGAGUUUUGCUGUCAGUGUCCCCACGUAUUUAAGGGUCACCCCAGCCCUUCCCUGCCACGUGUAAGGAAAGUGCUUUCGCACGUUUAACUUCGUUGAGGGUCUUUCCAGGGGCUCGGCAUUUCAUUUUCAGCGAGUCAAACCCAUCAAACUGGUUUUUCAACAGUGUCUGCAUUUGGUGACAUGCUUAGAAAUGGCUCCCCUAUGCUGGGCAGCUAUAAAUCUUCAGGUAUGUUUUUCCCAGUAUUUUACACCCUCAUUGGGUCACAUUUAAAACUUUAAAUUGCCUGGAAAGAACGCUGAUAUAUGACGUGUGGCACGGCUGGGACCUAUCAGAUUCCUG
RNAcentral lists this long non-coding RNA (1076 nucleotides) under Sus scrofa (pig). RNAcentral describes it as "lncRNA (ENSSSCG00015054723.1)". Lineage: Eukaryota; Metazoa; Chordata; Mammalia; Artiodactyla; Suidae. The record is from RNAcentral.